This 466-nucleotide ribosomal RNA is filed under the name uncultured Pseudomonadota bacterium. RNAcentral describes it as "bacterial SSU rRNA". It matches the Rfam family "Bacterial small subunit ribosomal RNA", at positions 8 to 522 of the family's 1533-position model. The record is from RNAcentral. Lineage: Bacteria; Pseudomonadati; Pseudomonadota.
AGAGUUUGAUCCUGGCUCAGAGCGAACGCUGGCGGCAGGCCUAACACAUGCAAGUCGAGCGCCCCGCAAGGGGAGCGGCAGACGGGAGAGUAACACGUGGGAACGUACCCUUUGGUUCGGAACAACCCAGGGAAACUUGGGCUAAUACCGAAUAAGCCCUUACGGGGAAAGAUUUAUCGCCGAAGGAUCGGCCCGCGUCUGAUUAGCUAGUUGGUGAGGUAACGGCUCACCAAGGCGACGAUCAGUAGCUGGUCUGAGAGGAUGAUCAGCCUCACUGGGACUGAGACACGGCCCAGACUCCUACGGGAGGCAGCAGUGGGGAAUAUUGGACAAUGGGCGCAAGCCUGAUCCAGCCAUGCCGCGUGGGUGAUGAAGGCCCUAGGGUUGUAAAGCCCUUUCGGCGGGGAAGAUAAUGACGGUACCCGCAGAAGAAGCCCCGGCUAACUUCGUGCCAGCAGCCGCGGUA